RNAcentral lists this unclassified non-coding RNA (1449 nucleotides) under Hevea brasiliensis (rubber tree). The record is from RNAcentral. Lineage: Eukaryota; Viridiplantae; Streptophyta; Magnoliopsida; Malpighiales; Euphorbiaceae.
CUUUGAUCACAGUGUUGCAUCUCAGCUUGCCCAACAGAAAGAGUUUAAUUUGAAAAAACCAGCUUCAUAUCAUUAUGAUCUUCUCCUCCUAGGUUUCCUUGUUAUCCUGUGUGGACUUAUAGGCAUACCACCUUCUAAUGGUGUAAUUCCUCAGUCUCCGAUGCACACAAAAAGCUUAGCUACCCUAAAACAUCAGCUUUUGCGGAGCAAGCUGGUAGCAGCAGCGCGACAAAGUUUCCGUAAAAAUUCGAACUUGAGUCAAUUAUACCGGAACAUGCAAGAGGCAUAUAAUGAGAUUCAGACUCCUUUAAUUUAUCAAAAUCCACCAGCUGUGGGGCUGAAGGAGUUGAAGGAUUCCACGAUCCAACUAGCUUCAAGAACUGGCUACAUUGAUGCACCUGUUGAUGAAACUGUUUUCGAUGUGGACAAAGAUAUUGAUGAUCUUCUGCCAGUAGAAGUUAAAGAACAACGUCUCAGCAAUUUGCUUCAGGCAGUAAUGGUUGGUGGUUGUGUUGCUGCUAUGCCUCUUUUAAAGAAGAUCCCGACUUCGGUUCUUUGGGGCUACUUCGCUUUCAUGGCAAUCGAGAGCUUACCCGGAAAUCAAUUUUGGGAAAGGAUUUUACUUCUUUUCACUGCUCCGAACCGAAGAUACAAGGUGCUGGAGGAAUAUCAUGCAACCUUUCUAGAAACUGUCCCCUUCAAAACAAUUGCCACCUUCACCUUGUUUCAGACAGUAUAUCUGCUGAUGUGUUUUGGAUUAACCUGGAUUCCAAUUGCUGGUGUUCUUUUUCCGCUGUUGAUCAUGCUUCUCGUCCCUGUGCGCCAGUACUUGCUCCCCAAGUUCUUCAAAGGUGCUCAUCUUCAGGACUUGGAUGCUGCUGAAUAUGAGGAAGCUCCUGCAGUCACUUUUAAUCCGUCAUUCGAAGAUCGAAUGGGAAGAACUCCCAACAUUGAUGACGGUGAAAUACUCGACGAGAUGAUCACAAGAAGCCGUGGCGAGAUUCGACGUACACAAGGUUCAAAAGUGAUAAGCUCAUCCCCAACGUCUCUAGAGGGCAUCAAACCUGCCUACAGCCCACAGAUACCACAGAAACUUUACAGUCCACGGAUCAAUGAGCUGAGAAGAGAGAGAAGUUCUCUAUCUCCUGGAAAAGGACUUGAGUUUAAGCUAAAUUCUAGUCCUAGUCCUAGGGAAGAACCAGGGCCAGGACCUUCUUUUAGAAAUUAGCAGUUGUAAGUGGUACUUCUUCUUGGUUUUGAUAUUGUUGUUAAUUGUGUUCGAGAGGCCUUUUAACGUUGCUUUGCUGCAGCUAAUGUCAGUUUGUAAUGGGUAUUUUCUAUUUUUCUUCCCCUUUUAUAUUUUUCUCUUUUAAAUAAAACGAAGGAAAAACAUAGAUAUACUGUUUAUUUAGCUUUGUCAUAUACAAAUUAUCUGAAUGUUUAAAAAAG